GGAGUCUGGACCGUGUCUCAGUUCCAGUGUGGGGGACCUUCCUCUCAGAACCCCUACUGAUCGAAGGCCAGGUGGGCCGUCACCCCGCCUGCUGCCUAAUCAGACGCAUCCCCAUCCCUUAGCGAUAAAUCUUUGGUUCUCGUUAGAUGCCUGCGGAAAACAACAUAGGGUGUUAAUCCGAUUUUCACCGGGCUAUGCCCUACUAAGGGGAAGGUUGGAUACGCGUUACUCACCCGUGCGCCGGUCGCCAUCGGAAGUUGCAAGCAACCUCCAUGCUGCCCCUCGACUUGCAUGUGUUAAGCCUGUAGCUAGCGUUCAUCCUGAGCCAAGAUCAAACUCU
RNAcentral lists this ribosomal RNA (340 nucleotides) under uncultured Bacteroidales bacterium. Its description in RNAcentral is "partial 16S ribosomal RNA". The record is from RNAcentral. Lineage: Bacteria; Pseudomonadati; Bacteroidota; Bacteroidia; Bacteroidales.